Molecule: ribosomal RNA, 435 nt
Filed under: uncultured bacterium
Lineage: Bacteria
Description: partial 16S ribosomal RNA
Rfam family: Bacterial small subunit ribosomal RNA
Source: RNAcentral
AGCGAACGCUGGCGGCAGGCUUAACACAUGCAAGUCGAACGGGCAUCUUCGGAUGUCAGCGGCAGACGGGUGAGUAACACGUGGGAACGUACCCUUCGGUUCGGAACAACUCUGGGAAACUGGAGCUAAUACCGGAUACGCCCUUAUGGGGAAAGGUUUACUGCCGAAGGAUCGGCCCGCGUCUGAUUAGCUAGUUGGUGGGGUAACGGCCUACCAAGGCGACGAUCAGUAGCUGGUCUGAGAGGAUGAUCAGCCACACUGGGACUGAGACACGGCCCAGACUCCUACGGGAGGCAGCAGUGGGGAAUAUUGGACAAUGGGCGCAAGCCUGAUCCAGCCAUGCCGCGUGAGUGAUGAAGGCCUUAGGGUUGUAAAGCUCUUUUGUCCGGGACAAUAAUGACGGUACCGGAAGAAUAAGCCCCGGCUAACUUCGUG